Molecule: ribosomal RNA, 210 nt
Filed under: Pseudo-nitzschia fraudulenta
Lineage: Eukaryota; Bacillariophyta; Bacillariophyceae; Bacillariales; Bacillariaceae
Description: partial Bacterial small subunit ribosomal RNA
Rfam family: Bacterial small subunit ribosomal RNA
Source: RNAcentral
UCGGAUGUGAAAGCCCAGGGCUUAACCCUGGAAUUGCAUUCGAUACUGCCGAGCUAGAGUAUGUUAGAGGAAAGUGGAAUUCCCGGUGUAGCGGUGAAAUGCGUAGAUAUUGCCAGGAACACCGGUGGCGAAGGCGCCUUGCUGGCCUGAUACUGACGCUGAUGCGCGAAAGCGUGGGGAGCGAACGGGAUUAGAUACCCCGGUAGUCCA